Anopheles arabiensis is the source of this 46-nucleotide non-coding RNA. The record is from Rfam. Lineage: Eukaryota; Metazoa; Arthropoda; Insecta; Diptera; Culicidae.
UAAACAGUCCUUUUCAGGGCUACCAAAUAUUUCUGACAAGAACUAU